AUUGAACGCUGGCGGAAUGCUUUACACAUGCAAGUCGAACGGCAGCACGGGGGCAACCCUGGUGGCGAGUGGCGAACGGGUGAGUAAUACAUCGGAACGUGCCCGGUCGUGGGGGAUAACGUAGCGAAAGUUACGCUAAUACCGCAUACGAUCUGAGGAUGAAAGCGGGGGACCUUCGGGCCUCGCGCGAUCGGAGCGGCCGAUGUCAGAUUAGGUAGUUGGUGGGGUAAAGGCCUACCAAGCCGACGAUCUGUAGCUGGUCUGAUAGGACGACCAGCCACACUGGGACUGAGACACGGCCCAGACUCCUACGGGAGGCAGCAGUGGGGAAUUUUGGACAAUGGGCGCAAGCCUGAUCCAGCCAUUCCGCGUGCAGAACGAAGGCCUUCGGGUUGUAAACUGCUUUUGUAUGGAACGAAAAGGCUCUGGCUAAUACCUGGGGCUCAUGACGGUACCGUAAGAAUAAGCACCGGCUAACUACGUG
This 484-nucleotide ribosomal RNA is filed under the name uncultured bacterium. RNAcentral describes it as "partial 16S ribosomal RNA". It matches the Rfam family "Bacterial small subunit ribosomal RNA", at positions 30 to 507 of the family's 1533-position model. The record is from RNAcentral.